RNAcentral lists this ribosomal RNA (462 nucleotides) under uncultured bacterium. Its description in RNAcentral is "partial 16S ribosomal RNA". It matches the Rfam family "Bacterial small subunit ribosomal RNA", at positions 28 to 507 of the family's 1533-position model. The record is from RNAcentral.
GACGAACGCUGGCGGCGUGCUUAACACAUGCAAGUCGAACGGAAAGGCCCUUCGGGGUACUCGAGUGGCGAACGGGUGAGUAACACGUGGGUGAUCUGCCCUGCACUUUGGGAUAAGCCUGGGAAACUGGGUCUAAUACCGAAUAGGACCGCGCGCUUCAUGGUGUGUGGUGGAAAGCUUUUGCGGUGUGGGAUGGGCCCGCGGCCUAUCAGCUUGUUGGUGGGGUAAUGGCCUACCAAGGCGACGACGGGUAGCCGGCCUGAGAGGGUGACCGGCCACACUGGGACUGAGAUACGGCCCAGACUCCUACGGGAGGCAGCAGUGGGGAAUAUUGCACAAUGGGCGCAAGCCCGAUGCAGCGACGCCGCGUGAGGGAUGACGGCCUUCGGGUUGUAAACCUCUUUCACCAGGGACGAAGCGCAAGUGACGGUACCUGGAGAAGAAGCACCGGCCAACUACGUG